Molecule: unclassified non-coding RNA, 2884 nt
Filed under: Hevea brasiliensis (rubber tree)
Lineage: Eukaryota; Viridiplantae; Streptophyta; Magnoliopsida; Malpighiales; Euphorbiaceae
Source: RNAcentral
UCCUUCCCUCAGUUUCCGUCCUCCCUCCCACCAUCUCUCUCUGUCUCUCUCUCUUUCUGAAAGCUCGUCAAAGAAGAAUCAAGAACCGAAAUCUUCAGCUUCUAACUCAAAAGAUCGAAAGUAAAUCUGAAGAGCGGGUAGUUCUUGCUGAUUUGGGUAAUAAAUAUCUCACAUGCAAUGUGGGUUGAUAUUUUUUCUGUUGUGAUAUAGUUGAAAGAGUAAAUGGAGGAAGUAAUAAACAGAGGGGAUUUGCAUGUAAAAGUUGUUAGGCAAUCAUCAUUAAGGCCAGGAGGCAACAUGAAGUCCACAUUGUCAGGGAGAUCAACUCCUAAUAACUCUCCAACGUUUCGGAGAUUGCAUUCCAGCCGAACUCCACGAAGAGAGGGUAGAAGUGUUGGAGGCAGUGUGCAGUGGUUUCGAAGCAAUCGAUUAGUGUACUGGUUACUUCUGAUUACUCUGUGGGCUUACCUUGGGUUUUAUGUACAAUCAAGGUGGGCUCAUGGUGAUAACAAGGAGGAAUUUCUGGGGUUUGGAGGUAAAACUAGGAGUGGAAUUCCAGACACUGAACAGAAUACGCGACAAGAUUUGCUUGCCAAUGAUAGUUCUAUGGCCGUAAAUAAUGGGACCAACAAGAUUCAGAUAGAAGAGCAUAGAAGGAUAGGUGUUGUUUUGGCCAAGAGUGGGAACAAAGUUUCUUCUAAGCAUAAUAAAGUUUCUUCUUCAAGGAAGAGGAGUAAGAGGGCAGGGCGCAGGUUGCGCAGUAAAGCACGUCGCAAACAAAAGACAACAAUAGAGGCUGGAGGCAAUGAUGUAGAGGUACAGGAACCAGACAUCCCCCAGAAGAAUACUUCUUAUGGUUUUCUUGUUGGCCCAUUUGGGUCAUCAGAGGAUAGAGUUCUGGAAUGGAGUCCUGAGAAGCGAACAGGAACCUGUGACAGGAAAGGGAAUUUUGCACGUCUUGUAUGGUCUAGGAAAUUUGUAUUGAUAUUCCAUGAGCUCUCAAUGACUGGGGCUCCACUUUCAAUGAUGGAGUUGGCAACAGAGUUUCUGAGCUGUGGAGCCACAGUUUCUGCUGUAGUUCUUAGCAAAAAGGGUGGUUUGAUGCCAGAGCUUGCCAGGAGAGGGAUCAAAGUGCUUGAGGAUAGAGCUGACCUUAGCUUCAAAACUGCCAUGAAGGCAGAUCUUGUGAUUGCAGGAUCUGCAGUCUGUGCAUCAUGGAUAGAUCAAUAUAUUGCUCAUUUCCCAGCUGGCGGAAGUCAAAUUGCUUGGUGGAUUAUGGAAAAUCGACGAGAGUACUUUGAUCGGUCAAAAAUUGUCCUUGACCGAGUGAAGAUGCUGGUUUUUCUUUCUGAAUCUCAGACCAAACAAUGGCUAUCUUGGUGCGAGGAAGAAAAGGUUAAGUUGAGAUCUCCACCUGCAAUUGUUCAACUUUCUAUUAAUGAUGAACUAGCUUUUGUAGCUGGUAUUCCAUGUUCACUAAAUACUCCAUCUUCUAGCCCUGAGAAGAUGCUGGAGAAGGGGAGGUUGCUACGAGAUUCUGUUAGAAAAGAGAUGGGAUUGACAGAUAAUGAUGUGCUUGUAAUGUCUCUCAGCAGUAUAAACGCUGGGAAGGGUCAACUCUUACUACUUGAAUCAGCGCAGCUGUUGAUUGAGAAAGAACCAUUGCAAAAAAUAAGAACUGCAGUGGUUAUGGAUGGUGACCGAUCCACCUUAGCUGCGAAACAUCACAUAAGAGCCUUGUUACAGGAGUCAAGAGAUACUGAUAAAUUUUCAGAUAGCCAGUCCAGCAAGUCCUCUAUCUCAUCAAAUGAACCUAAUAAGAAAGGGUCACAGCUAUCCCGUCUCUUGAACAGAAGGCGGAAAAGAAGGAAAGUUUUGUCUAAUCUUGAAGGAGCACAAGAACAGCAUCUUAAAGUUCUUAUUGGUUCUGUUGGUUCUAAGAGUAAUAAGGUGCUUUAUGUUAAAGAAAUGUUGAGAUAUGUGUCUGAGCAUUCAAACUUGUCGAAGUCAGUGAUUUGGACUCCAGCAACUACACGUGUUGCUUCACUUUACUCUGCAGCAGAUAUUUAUGUUAUAAAUUCUCAGGGCUUCGGAGAAACCUUUGGGAGAGUGACAAUUGAAGCAAUGGCAUUUGGUCUUCCGGUAUUCACUUCCUAACACACAUUAGUGCUUAUUACUGUCGUCUUACUAAUGGCUGACGGUGUCUUGUUGUUGAGAACCAUUAACACAUCAAUAAUGUCCUUAAAUAGAUUUGAGUAAUGGUGACGCUGAGACCAUUUAAGUUACACUGCAUGUGUAUUUUCUUCAUGGAUUAAAAAGUGCAAGAAGAGAAGUCUUAAUAAUUUGAUUACUUAUCCAUUUAUGUUGCAGGUGCUUGGAACAGAUGCUGGAGGCACAAAAGAAAUCGUUGAGCACAAUGUAACAGGACUUCUUCACCCAGUUGGGCGUCCAGGAACUCAUAUCCUUGCACAAAAUCUCCAAUAUUUGCUAAAAAAUCCAUCUUUAAGACAGCAAAUGGGGAUGAAGGGAAGGAAAAAGGUAGAGAGAAUGUAUUUGAAGCGGCACUUGUACAAGAAAUUUGUAGAGGUUCUCUACAAGUGCAUGAGAGUCAAAUAACAACUACAUGGACUCAUUCUUUAAUUGGUUUCAAUUUGAAGGAAGCUGUGAGUAUGAAUACAAAAUUGUAUUCUCAAGCAACGCAUUGUUUCUCUAUUGAUUAGAAGCUGUAGCCAUUUUACUUUGAAUUCGGAGCACUGAAGUUUAUUUGGUGUACAUAUUAUUCUUGCUUGUAUUCCAUCAAAAUGAACCGCAUGAAAUAGAUGUGUGGUGUUUUCGAGUGCUAAUUUUUUGGAAUUUUAAUUGCCUACAGAACCCAUUAUCCUAG